AGUGAUUCCAGAGUGCUACCAGGGUUGAAACCAGCGGCAAAGAUCUUUCUUCAGCUCCGCAGGCGUGUCAGGCGCGCCGGUGCGACUUGCUCGUCCCUCCACGAACCCAAACGCGCCACCCAGGUGACAGGUCUCGGCUGCUCGGGGGCUACUCACCCGCUUCAGGUGCAGCUCCCGGAAUUUGCGCAGCCUCUGUUCGCGCUUCUGGGCGGCCAGCUCCGCGGGGGCCGCGAGGGUCUGCUCCGCCUCUUCCACGCUGUCCACCGGCACCUGCGGCGAGGAGGACCGGCUGGAGGCGGGGCGGCCCGGGCGGAUUCCCCGCCGGUGCCACGGAGCCGGGCCGAGAGCGCACAGCCGCCCGACCCCACGGUGUGUGCGCCUCCCUCCCUGGCAUCGCCUGUACGUGUAGGCCAAACCGCUAGCCGCAGACGUCCUUAUCCCCAACCCCUGGGCAAAGCCCGCCACCCACCUUCCCAGCCACGGCCUCCUGAGCGGCCAUCACCCGGCAGCGCUCUACCCCUCAGACUUCUGGCAACAACAAAUAACUUCUCCGACUCUCUCGCUCACUUCCGGCCGCCGGCAGCCACAGGUUUCGGGGGACCCGGGCCCUCAUCGGGAGAUGAGGAACCAAUCCCCGUCCGUCGAAGCCCUGGGCGGCAUCCGAUUGGGCCAGGCCUGUGCACCCGGGACAUUGAGCAGCGACACCUGGGCGACGCGGAUAAAACCAGAGAAGAGACCUGGCGUCUGCGCCGUCGGGACGGUGCCACUCAUUGGAAGGACCCAAUGAGAAGAGAGCAAUAAACAAGAGAGCUUAUUGACACAGUCCAUAGAGGCCAGCACUCGUGGGUGCAGAACAGAGUGGACACUGGUGGAAGGUGGUUCUAAAGGAGCAAACAAAAUAUCUAGCACAGCUCUGUUCAUGGAACAUGGUAAAAAUUUCGUAAUUUUUUGAGGUCUCAGAAGAGCUCUUUGGUCAAGUUAUAUUUGCAUAGAUUUAGUAACAAGAACAGAAGAAGAUGUGUGGUCAAUUGAAUUUUCCAAGAUGAUAGAAGAUCUUCCAUCCUAUGUGCUAUUCUUACAAGGUGACAUUGACACACCUUCCAAGGAGAGGUAAGAUCUAUGUCCCUAAUCCUUGAAUAUGUGACUGGAAGAAGUGACACUAUGUGAUUUCUGAGGCUAAGUCUUAAAAGGGAAAACAGAUUCCACCUGGUUCUCUUGGGAUGCUUGUUUUUUGAACUCAGUCACCAUUCUUUGAGGAAGCCCAGCCCAAAUGGAGAGGUCAUGUAGGCCUGAAAAUUGGUACAACCCUUAGGGAGGGCAAUUUGGCAAUAUUUAUAAAAAUUACAAAGACAUUUACUCUUUGACUCCACUAUUACACUUCUGGGGAUUUAUCCUACAAGUGCAAUUGCACAGGUAUAAAAUGACUUAUGUACAAGGAUUGCUUAGGGCAUCUGUUUUCUCAUAUGAUUUAGUAAAGAUGACAAGAUAGCAGAUUCACUGGGCGAGAAUGAACAAUAUUCUUUGUUGGCUGUCGUUUAAAGCUUGUUGGGGAAAAACAAAAAAAAUAUAAAAAAUAAAAUAAAAUAAAGCUUGUUGGGUAAAUUUGGU
This is a long non-coding RNA of Ursus maritimus (polar bear), 1608 nucleotides long. Lineage: Eukaryota; Metazoa; Chordata; Mammalia; Carnivora; Ursidae. The record is from Ensembl.